UGGUCUUUUUCAAUGAGGUGGAUUGCGCAUCGACGUGGAUAGCUUGUGCGUCUUAAGUGAACCGUAUCCAAAGAAAAUGCCGGCCAACUCUACCGACUGUCACGAGACUCUCACCUUGGAGUCGGGACUCCCAACCAUGUCGGCGGUGAUGUUCGCCCUCGGUGUGGCGGGAAACUUCGUCGCGCUCGCGCUGCUGGAGACGCGGCGUCGGACGAAUUCUCCGUCGCUGUUCCGCAUCCUCGUCACGGCGCUCAUCACCACGGACCUGUUGGGCACGAUCGCGGUCACCCCCUUUGUGCUCGUCGCGUACGCCAAGAACACCACGCUGGUGGCACAGGGUGACCGCGGCGUCCUGUGCUCUUACUUCGGGUUCAGCAUGACGUUUCUGAGCCUCUCCACGCUCUCGAUCUUGUGCGCCAUGGCGCUGGAGCGCUUCAUCGCGCUGGGGUUCCCCUACUUCUACGACAGACACAUCACGAGCACGCGCUGCGGCUACGUCGCGAUUGCGCUCAUCUACCUGGCGUGCGUGCUCUUCUGUGCCUGCCCGUUAAUGGGGUUUGGAAAGUACGUGCAGUAUUGCCCCGGGACGUGGUGCUUCCUGGACAUGAGCCCGCACAGCGAUUCGGAUAAAAUCUACACCGCGUUUUACGCCUGCUUUACGCUCAUUGUCAUAAUGUGCACCUCGGUUUGCAACCUGUCCGUCAUUCACUUUCUGGUUAAAAUGCACCGGCGGCGGAACACACACCACCGGGCCGGACGCUCGCUGAGCAGAAGGUUUUUCCGCAGGUCGCUGUCCAUGAUGGAGGAAGUCGAGCAUAUUCUGCCUCUGAUUUUUAUAACGGUGGCCUUCUCAAUCUGUUCUUUUCCAAUACUGGUAAAUUUUUUUUUCGCUAAAACCCGAAUUACGCACGCAUUACGCAUUCCAUUUUUAACGUUUUUCUUCGUCCUCGGCCUGUCUCUCCCUCAUCCCAUCAUUCCUGUCCGUCCUACUGCUGCGGGUGUUCAUCAACUUCAUCGGCAGGACGGAGGAGCAGCAGGCCAGCGACCUGCACGCCCUGCGCAUGCUCUCCUUCAACUCCAUCAUCGACCCCUGGGUCUUCAUCUUCCUCGAGCCCUCCGUGCUCAAGUUCGUCUGGAGGAACCUGUGCCGCCGCCAGGGGAAACCACACAACCCUAAGUCUCCGGUUCAGCCCAGAUUGCAGAUAACGACCACCACCACCACCACUAUCUCCAGCCCCACAACUACGGGGGAAACGACGCUACGAGGAACUGGUUCACCACAGCGUCGUCUCAGGAUCAUCGAUGACCUGACCAUAUAGUGUGGAAGAGAAGGAGGACAAAUGCAGAGGAUACAAUACGAUGUAGGUCACCGUAUGGAAAUAAAUCGGUGUUAUCGGAUUCUGAAAAUAAAAAUCCAUUGAAUUCUAAGCACUGAAUUUUUAUGCAUUGAAAUAAUGUAUCUGGAUUUUUUGCCUCUGAAUUUAACUCAAUAAAUCAUAUUCAGCUUUAUUUUUCAAUGUUAAAAACUCAAAAUCAAAUAUUCAACGUAAAUAUUUGCAACGUCCCCAAAUUCAACAUGCCAAAUUCAGCUGCAAAAUUCAAUGUCAGAAAAUUCAGUGUUAAAAUCCGGGGACCCAAGGAAGAGCAAUCGAUCCUAGAUACUAGAUCGUGGUCAAGCAAGGAUACCGGGAAUAAGAGCGUCACUCACUGGUUCAUUCUUUCUUGAUACAAACGUUAAUUCUAAACAGCAUUCUACACAGUAGCCUAUAAUAGGAAAAAUGCUCAAAGGUAAAUCAACGUCAUUAAACACUGACUGUAGGUUUUUAUGGGGAGAGAAGCUACCGAACAGUGUGACCUUAUGGGGCACUGUUGCACAUUUUCUGAAACAUGCACGAGUUUGAAGCAUAGACAGGCAUGAAGUCGUUCACCUGCGGAAACAUGCCCAAGCUUAAAACUUAACGUUUGUAUCGUCAUCGAUCACUCGGAUUGGGGGUAUUCUUUUUGUGACACCGGAUGCACGUUAAGUGGCUGGAGCAAAACGGUUGAUAUGCCUCUGUGGUGGCAUAACGAGCGCGCAGAGCCAACACUAUUCCGCACCGAGUGACAUGAUACAGAUAUGAGGAUGACAAAUUACUGUCGGGUGCCUCUUUCCGAGGCACGCCGUGCUUCCACUGGAACUACAGGCUGCUGAUGCUUCAAUUGCGCAAUACUGUUGGCUCUGCGCUCUCGUUCCAACGUGGGCAGCGGGCUUCAGCAUCACAUCGUAGAUCGCCCCAGCAACACAUCAAACGUAGGCCAAGUGACCUCGGCGGAUUGCCCCAAAUUGGUGCCCUAAUAAAUUGGGCUCCUUGACCCACUACAAUUACUCUCACGUUGCAUGUAAAUCCAGCUAAGUCCCUGAUUUGAGCAUUUCCUAUCAUAGGCUACUGUGUAAAAUGCUGUUUAGAAUUGACGUUUGUAUCAAAAAAGAAGAAUCGAGUGACGCUCUUAUUCCCGCUCUCCUUGCUUGACUGCGAUCUAGCAUCUAGGAUCGAUCGCUCUUCCUUGGGUCCCCGGAUGUUAACGCUGAAUAUUCCGACGUUGAAUUUUGCAUGUUGAAUUUGGGGACGUUGAAAAUAUUUCCGUUGAAUUUUUUUAAGUUGAGUAUUUGAUUUUGAAUUUUUAACACUGAAAAAUAAAACUGAAUAGGAUUUAUUGAAAAUUGUAAGAGUUAAAUUCAAAUCCAGAUACUUUAUUUCAAUGCAUAAAUAUUCCGUGCUUAGAAUUCAAUGGCUUUUUAUUUUUAAAAUCCGAUGGCACAGAUUUACUUCCAUAUCACCGUCUACUUGUUUGAAGAAAGAUAUGAUCAUGUUUUAAGUGAACUGAUAUUUAACAAGGCAACUCUACUAAAGAUAAAACACAGGUAAUUUAUACAUCAGCAUUUAAGACCAGACAAAGGAAAGCUCAGUGUUUAUUCAAUUGAUACAUAGUUUGUCCAGAAAUUGUUCAGGACCUGCGUUGUUUCCUCUGCUAUAUCGCAAAAUAAGAAAAUAAACAUUAUUGUUGGACUCUUGAAGGGAAACCAAACCGUUUAACUAAAACUAAGCUGUCCUAAGAUUUUUUUUAAAUAAAACAUAAAACCCCACAAAUAAAGUCUGACUAAUGAUGAGGAUGAAGAUUUUGAUAAUGAUUCUAAUAGUUAGCAUGCCUUAAUAUGAUGAUAUAACUAAUAAUAUGUAUACCAAAGAGGCAAAAUCAGAGACAACAUAUGUACGGUAUAAAUAUAUUCCUUCCAAUGUUAGGGUUCCAACAUUUUUUACUGAAUUAGGGUCGAAGGGUUUAUGGAUGUAAUGAAGCAGAGGUUGCUGACCUCGG
This is an RNA transcript of Gadus chalcogrammus (walleye pollock), 3354 nucleotides long. It is a transcript of the gene named prostaglandin E receptor 2b (subtype EP2), with no coding region annotated. Lineage: Eukaryota; Metazoa; Chordata; Actinopteri; Gadiformes; Gadidae. The record is from RefSeq and is a predicted model, not a curated record. The transcript has 3 exons.